Molecule: long non-coding RNA, 656 nt
Organism: Lotus japonicus
Lineage: Eukaryota; Viridiplantae; Streptophyta; Magnoliopsida; Fabales; Fabaceae
Exons: 4
Source: RefSeq, a predicted model, not a curated record
UGGUAGAGGAGUUGGUUUGGCAUUUCAUCUGCCUUACCAACUGCUGCCAGCGAUCAUCUCUUACAACAUCGCUUUGAUAGAUAGAUCGCGAAAUCAGAAGAAUGGAAGCAGGCUAAUUUGGAUGGCAGUCACUUUCUCUAUUUGGAUUUGCAGGAAAAAUGCAGUAUUUGGCAAUGUGAUCCCUGACGCUUGAGAGGCAUUCGGAUUGGUUCAAUACAGAUCCUGGAAAUGGCUCCAAGCAAAGGUCAUUUUCAAAUUCUGUUUCUUGGCACUCCUUGCUGUUUGUGGCUACUUGGCUGGGUCACUCCUGUGCUUUUUAAAUAUUGUGUUGCCCAUUACUUCGAUUCUAGAGAAGCCCAACGGAAAUGAUGAGAAGUCUCACAAAAAACUGCAAGGCUACAAGUGUGUGCUACAUUGCGAAGAAUAUACAGAAGAAUCUCUAAGGUGUCAUUGUGUCAAGCGGUUGGUUAUUCUUUUCCAAAUUCAACAAGCUAGUUGGCAAAGGAUGAGAAUUUUGUCUUUAUCCAAUGAAAUUUCAAAUUUCCAAUUGACAUCAUAAUCCCCCAAUAUCACAAUUCUUUAGGAGGAAUUUAUUUGCAGCCAAAAAUUAAGUCAGUUAAAAUCAGUUCCGGCCAGACUCAACUCGAUGUGGUGAG